UUGCUUCGGCAGCACAUAUACUAAAAUCAGAACUAUACAGAGGAGAUUAGCAUGGCUCCUGUGCAAGGAUGACACACAAAUUCAUGGGGCAUUCCAUAUUUCU
Acomys russatus (golden spiny mouse) is the source of this 103-nucleotide small nuclear RNA. NCBI's taxonomy places the organism in Eukaryota, Metazoa, Chordata, Mammalia, Rodentia, Muridae. The record is from RefSeq and is a predicted model, not a curated record.